This 458-nucleotide ribosomal RNA is filed under the name uncultured bacterium. Its description in RNAcentral is "partial 16S ribosomal RNA". It matches the Rfam family "Bacterial small subunit ribosomal RNA", at positions 338 to 795 of the family's 1533-position model. The record is from RNAcentral.
CCUACGGGUGGCAGCAGUGAGGAAUAUUGGUCAAUGGGCGAGAGCCUGAACCAGCCAAGUCGCGUGAGGGAGUACUGCCCUAUGGGUUGUAAACCUCUUUUGUCGGGGAGCAAAAGCCGGACGUGUCCGGCUGUGAGAGUACCAGAAGACAAAGCAUCGGCUAACUCCGUGCCAGCAGCCGCGGUAAUACGGAGGAUGCGAGCGUUAUCCGGAUUUAUGGGGUGUAAAGGGUGCGCAGGCGGAUUUUUAAGUCAGCGGUGAAAUCGGGGGGCUCAACCCCAUCCAGCCGUUGAAACUGGGGAUCUAGAGUGUGCGAGAGGUAUGCGGAAUGCGUGGUGUAGCGGUGAAAUGCAUAGAUAUCACGCAGAACCCCGAUUGCGAAGGCAGCAUACCGGUGCACAACUGACGCUCAGGCACGAAAGCGUGGGUAUCGAACAGGAUUAGAUACCCCAGUAGUC